Molecule: unclassified non-coding RNA, 346 nt
Filed under: soil metagenome
Description: partial contains 5.8S ribosomal RNA, internal transcribed spacer 2, and large subunit ribosomal RNA
Rfam family: 5.8S ribosomal RNA (bases 1-119)
Source: RNAcentral
GAUGAAGAACGCAGCGAAAUGCGAUAAGUAAUGCGAAUUGCAGAAUCCGUGAGUCAUCGAAUCUUUGAACGCACAUUGCGCCCCCUGGUAUUCCGGGGGGCAUGCCUGUCCGAGCGUCAUUGCUGCCCUCAAGCACGGCUUGUGUGUUGGGCCCCCGCCCCCCGGCUUCGGGGGGCGGGCCCGAAAGGCAGCGGCGGCACCGCGUCCGGUCCUCGAGCGUAUGGGGCUUCGUCACCCGCUCUGUAGGCCCGGCCGGCGCCCGACGGCGACCCCAAUCAAUCUUUCCAGGUUGACCUCGGAUCAGGUAGGGAUACCCGCUGAACUUAAGCAUAUCAAUAAGCGGGGA